RNAcentral lists this ribosomal RNA (463 nucleotides) under uncultured bacterium. Its description in RNAcentral is "partial 16S ribosomal RNA". It matches the Rfam family "Bacterial small subunit ribosomal RNA", at positions 28 to 507 of the family's 1533-position model. The record is from RNAcentral.
GAUGAACGCUGACAGAAUGCUUAACACAUGCAAGUCGAUGGGGAAGUGGUGCUUGCACCAUGGCAGCCAUGGCGGACGGGUGAGUAACGCGUAAGGGACUUACCUGCAGGACUGGGAUAACAGGGGGAAACUCCUGACAAGACCGGAUAAUGUCAUGGAGCUGCAUGGCUUUAUGAUGAAAGGAGACGCCUGCGGAGAGCCUUGCGUCCUAUUAGCUAGUUGGUGAGGUAAUGGCUCACCAAGGCGAAGAUAGGUAGCCGGCCUGAGAGGGUGGACGGCCACAAGGGGACUGAGAUACGGCCCUUACUCCUACGGGAGGCAGCAGUGGGGAAUAUUGGACAAUGGGGGCAACCCUGAUCCAGCAAUUCUGUGUGCACGAAGAAGGUUUUCGGAUUGUAAAGUGCCUUCAGCAGGGAAGAAGUAAGUGACGGUACCUGCAGAAGAAGCGACGGCUAAAUACGUG